ACAAUGGGUAUCGACACCGAAAGGUGAAGGCAAUCUCCUAAACCCAUCCGUAGUUCGGAUUGUGGGCUGCAACUCGCCCACAUGAAGCUGGAAUCUGUAGUAAUCGUGUCUCAAAAUGGCACGGUGAAUAUCGUCCCUGCUCCUU
This 145-nucleotide ribosomal RNA is filed under the name uncultured Methanomicrobiales archaeon. Its description in RNAcentral is "partial 16S ribosomal RNA". It matches the Rfam family "Archaeal small subunit ribosomal RNA", at positions 1195 to 1338 of the family's 1478-position model. Lineage: Archaea; Methanobacteriati; Methanobacteriota; Methanomicrobia; Methanomicrobiales. The record is from RNAcentral.